CCCGUAGGUGAACCUGCGGAAGGAUCAUUUACAGUAAGUUCCAUGCCCGAAAAGGGGUAGAACCUCCCACCCUUGUGUAUUAUUACUUUGUUGCUUUGGCGAAGCUGCCUUCGGGCCUUGUAUGCUCGCCAGAGAAUACCAAAACUCUUUUUAUUAAUGUCGUCUGAGUACUAUAUAAUAGUUAAAACUUUCAACAACGGAUCUCUUGGUUCUGGCAUCGAUGAAGAACGCAGCGAAAUGCGAUAAGUAAUGUGAAUUGCAGAAUUCAGUGAAUCAUCGAAUCUUUGAACGCACAUUGCGCCCCUUGGUAUUCCGGGGGGCAUGCCUGUUCGAGCGUCAUUUCAACCCUCAAGCUUAGCUUGGUAUUGAGUCUAUGUCAGUAAUGGCAGGCUCUAAAAUCAGUGGCGGCGCCGCUGGGUCCUGAACGUAGUAAUAUCUCUCGUUACAGGUUCUCGGUGUGCUUCUGCCAAAACCCAAAUUUUUCUAUGGUUGACCUCGGAUCAGGUAGGGAUACCCGCUGAACUUAAGCAUAUAAAA
Molecule: ribosomal RNA, 537 nt
Filed under: Botrytis cinerea
Lineage: Eukaryota; Fungi; Ascomycota; Leotiomycetes; Helotiales; Sclerotiniaceae
Description: eukaryotic LSU rRNA
Rfam family: 5.8S ribosomal RNA (bases 186-339)
Source: RNAcentral